This 1073-nucleotide long non-coding RNA is filed under the name Homo sapiens (human). Its description in RNAcentral is "HSALNT0084005". Lineage: Eukaryota; Metazoa; Chordata; Mammalia; Primates; Hominidae. The record is from RNAcentral.
UUGCAGGAGCCCCUCGGUGCCCACCUGUAGGCCACGCUCACCAGCUGCACCAGAGCUGUGCUUCCAGCACCCAAAAGCUCCCUCCCUGAGCUGCACCCAGGCCUGCUCCCCACUCUCCUCACCAGCUGCACCCGUAUCUCCCACGGCCCACCCAGGGUACUAUCGAUCCUUUAGUCCUCUUCUGCCAGUGUACCCCAUGGCCCGGGACAACCCCUAGUAUGCAAUGGCUCUUUCUUGUGGGCAAUGCAUGGAGGCACACAUCAGGGCCCUGCUUUUAAGAAGGAAGUACUGAGACCUGGGUGCCGCCUCUUCUAGGAGCCAUGGAUGCCGGGGCUUACCCCCAGAGACUGUGAAUUGAAUGGUUAGGAGGGAGCCUGCACACACCGGAGAGCUCUGAGCACCAGGCGAGUCUCCCAUGUGGCCAGGUUGGGAGCCAUCGCUGUUCAUGUGGCCAGGGCUGCCUUGCCAGAGGAACUCAUCUUACUUUGCCACCAUGAAAAUGACCUGUUACGUGAGACAUGCACCAAAGCACGGAGAGGGACAGCCACGAUCCUGCCCGGAACGGGUCUUCAGAACUGGGCAGAGCAUGGCUCCUUUUGAUGGGGGCCCCAGAACUCCUUUUCAAAGGCAAUGGCAGGACGGGAUCCACAGUGGGUGGCCCUUUGAUAAGGAGGCAUCCUCCAGCCAGAGUUGACACCACGUGGACAAGGUCUCAAUGCUGCUUAACACUGUUUUGGGUGCAGAACAAAGAGCGGUUGGAACAUUUCUCGUCUAGUCUCCCCCUCUGUACGUGUCCUGUGUUUCUAGCUUGUUCAAAGUGGUCAAAGACCCAAGGCUGGUCUGGCACAGAAGGGGUCGUGCCUACAUGUAGGGAGGCGCUGACCCUUCUGUCUCCCCUUGUAUGUCCCCAGGGACAGGACAGCCCCCUGCCUGUUGUCCCCAGUGUCCUCUGUGAAUGGGGACCAGCUGUCUUUCAGGUAACUCCCUCCUCCUCCACCUCUGUCCACUCGCUCCGGUAGCCACCCCUUCCACGUGCAGUACGGCUCUGCAUCCCUGAGAGCCUCGAUGACUCC